RNAcentral lists this ribosomal RNA (253 nucleotides) under uncultured bacterium. RNAcentral describes it as "partial 16S ribosomal RNA". It matches the Rfam family "Bacterial small subunit ribosomal RNA", at positions 524 to 776 of the family's 1533-position model. The record is from RNAcentral.
UACAGAGGUCUCAAGCGUUGUUCGGAUUCAUUGGGUGUAAAGGGUGCGUAGGCGGCGCGGUAAGUCGGGUGUGGAAUCUCGGAGCUUAACUCCGAAACUGCAUUCGAUACUGCCGUGCUUGAGGACUGGAGAGGAGACUGGAAUUUACGGUGUAGCGGUGAAAUGCGUAGAUAUCGUAAGGAAGACCAGUGGCGAAGGCGGGUCUCUGGACAGUUCCUGACGCUGAGGCACGAAGGCCAGGGGAGCAAACGGG